This 141-nucleotide small nucleolar RNA is filed under the name Octodon degus (degu). RNAcentral describes it as "Small nucleolar RNA SNORA12 (ENSODEG00000023853.1)". It matches the Rfam family "Small nucleolar RNA SNORA12", at positions 34 to 148 of the family's 148-position model. Rfam says of the family: U108 belongs to the H/ACA family of snoRNAs. The sequence is predicted to guide the pseudouridylation of the U372 residue in the 28S rRNA subunit. Lineage: Eukaryota; Metazoa; Chordata; Mammalia; Rodentia; Octodontidae. The record is from RNAcentral.
AAUUGAGUUUAAUAAAAUGCUGUAAUAAAGACUUACAAAUGGGCCUGACUCUACCACAUACAUUCUAAGGAGCUGGCAAAGGCUUAAGACAGAAAGAUCUCUCUUGAGCUUUUUGUGCAUCAAAUAUUGGCUCUCACAGUC